GGGUCGGUUGUCCAACCUGGUUAAGACGUCACUCUCAAUGAAGAUUGCAGGUUCGAAUCCUGCCCGACCCA
RNAcentral lists this transfer RNA (71 nucleotides) under Thermoproteota archaeon. RNAcentral's name for it is "tRNA-Glu". It matches the Rfam family "tRNA". Rfam says of the family: Transfer RNA (tRNA) molecules are approximately 80 nucleotides in length. Lineage: Archaea; Thermoproteati; Thermoproteota. The record is from RNAcentral. RNAcentral also lists the same sequence under 1 other name.